UUUAAUGAGAGUUUGAUCCCGGCUCAGAACGAACGCUGGCGGCGUGCCUAACACAUGCAAGUCGAACGGAGUCAUUUUGAAGUAGCAAUACGGAUGGAUGACUUAGUGGCGCACGGGUGAGUAACACGUAGGUAACCUGCCCUUAAGAGGGGGAAAACCCGCCGAAAGGCGAGCUAAUACCGCAUAAGACCACAAACUGAGAUGUUAGUGGUAAAAGUAGCAAUACGCUUAAGGAUGGGCCUGCGGCCUAUCAGGUAGUUGGUGAGGUAACGGCCCACCAAGCCUAAGACGGGUAGCCGGUCUGAGAGGACGGACGGCCACACUGGAACUGAGACACGGUCCAGACUCCUACGGGAGGCAGCAGUGGGGAAUUUUGCACAAUGGGGGAAACCCUGAUGCAGCGACGCCGCGUGGAGGAUGAAGGCCUUCGGGUUGUAAACUCCUUUUAUAGGGGAAAAUAAUGAUGGUACCCUAUGAAUAAGUCACGGCUAACUCUGUGCCAGCAGCCGCGGUAAGACAGAGGUGGCAAGCGUUGUUCGGAAUUACUGGGCUUAAAGGGCGCGUAGGCGGUAAGAUAAGUCUGUGGUGAAAUCCUAUGGCUUAACCAGAGAAUUGCCAUGGAAACUGUUUUUCUUGAGUCAGCGAUGGGAUGGUGGAAUUCCUGGUGUAGCAGUGAAAUGCGUAGAUAUCAGGAGGAAGGCCGGUGGCGAAGGCGGCCAUCUGGCGCUGAACUGACGCUGAGGCGCGAAAG
Molecule: ribosomal RNA, 751 nt
Filed under: Nitrospirae bacterium CG01_land_8_20_14_3_00_44_22
Lineage: Bacteria; Pseudomonadati; Nitrospirota
Description: bacterial SSU rRNA
Rfam family: Bacterial small subunit ribosomal RNA
Source: RNAcentral